RNAcentral lists this ribosomal RNA (253 nucleotides) under uncultured bacterium. RNAcentral describes it as "partial 16S ribosomal RNA". It matches the Rfam family "Bacterial small subunit ribosomal RNA", at positions 524 to 776 of the family's 1533-position model. The record is from RNAcentral.
UACGGAGGGGGCUAGCGUUGUUCGGAAUUACUGGGCGUAAAGCGCACGUAGGCGGCUUUGUAAGUUAGAGGUGAAAGCCCGGGGCUCAACCCCGGAAUUGCCUUUAAGACUGCAUCGCUUGAACGUCGGAGAGGUGAGUGGAAUUCCGAGUGUAGAGGUGAAAUUCGUAGAUAUUCGGAAGAACACCAGUGGCGAAGGCGGCUCACUGGACGACUGUUGACGCUGAGGCGCGAAAGCUAGGGGAGCAAACGGG